This 405-nucleotide ribosomal RNA is filed under the name uncultured bacterium. RNAcentral's name for it is "partial 16S ribosomal RNA". It matches the Rfam family "Bacterial small subunit ribosomal RNA", at positions 28 to 526 of the family's 1533-position model. The record is from RNAcentral.
GAUGAACGCUGGCGGCGUGCCUAAUACAUGCAAGUCGAGCGAAGCGGGGACGGGUGAGUAAAACGUGGAUAACCUCCUAUAAGACUGGGAUAAAUUCGGGAAACCGGAGCCAAACCGGAAGCUGAUCGAUGAUUCCGCUCGGCAUUAGCUAGUUGGUAGGGUAACGGCUUACCAAGGCAACGAUGCAUAGCCGACCUGAGAGGAUGAUCGGCCACACUGGAACUGAGACACGGUCCAGACUCCUACGGGAGGCAGCAGUAGGGAAUCUUCCGCAAUGGGCGAAAGCCUGACGGAGCAACGCCGCGUGUGUGAUGAAGGUCUUCGGAUCGUAAAACUCUGUUAGUAGGGAAGCGGUACCUGAUCAGAAAGCCACGGCUAACUCCGUGCCAGCCGCCGCGGUAAUAC